CCCUUAGAUGUUCUGGGCCGCACGCGUGCUACACUGAGUGGAUCAGCGGGUCAGGUUGCGCGAAAGUGUUUCCUAAUCUUGAAAUCCGCUCGUGAUGGGGAUUGACGGUUGCAAUUUUCUGUCAUGAACGAGGAAUACCUUGUAAGCGCGGGUCAUCAUCCCGCGCUGAAUACGUCCCUGCCCUUUGUACACACCGCCCGUCGCUCCUACCGAUUGAAUGAUCCGAUGAAUAUCAUGGAUUGAGAGUACGAACAGGUUCGCUUGUUUCUGCUCCUCGAGAAGUGAAGUAAAUCUUAUCAUUUAGAGGAAGGAGAAGUCGUAACA
This 324-nucleotide ribosomal RNA is filed under the name uncultured eukaryote. Its description in RNAcentral is "partial 18S ribosomal RNA". It matches the Rfam family "Eukaryotic small subunit ribosomal RNA", at positions 1470 to 1796 of the family's 1831-position model. The record is from RNAcentral.